GACGAACGCUGGCGGCGUGCUUAACACAUGCAAGUCGAACGGAAAGGCCCUGCUUUUGUGGGGUGCUCGAGUGGCGAACGGGUGAGUAACACGUGAGUAACCUGCCCUUGACUUUGGGAUAACUUCAGGAAACUGGGGCUAAUACCGGAUAGGAGCUCCUGCUGCAUGGUGGGGGUUGGAAAGUUUCGGCGGUUGGGGAUGGACUCGCGGCUUAUCAGCUUGUUGGUGGGGUAGUGGCUUACCAAGGCUUUGACGGGUGGCCGGCCUGAGAGGGUGACCGGCCACAUUGGGACUGAGAUACGGCCCAGACUCCUACGGGAGGCAGCGGUGGGGAAUAUUGCACAAUGGGCGGAAGCCUGAUGCAGCAACGCCGCGUGCGGGAUGACGGCCUUCGGGUUGUAAACCGCUUUCGCCUGUGACGAAGCGUGAGUGACGGUAAUGGGUAAAGAAGCACCGGCUAACUACGUG
Molecule: ribosomal RNA, 468 nt
Filed under: uncultured bacterium
Lineage: Bacteria
Description: partial 16S ribosomal RNA
Rfam family: Bacterial small subunit ribosomal RNA
Source: RNAcentral